Molecule: unclassified non-coding RNA, 358 nt
Filed under: soil metagenome
Description: partial contains 5.8S ribosomal RNA, internal transcribed spacer 2, and large subunit ribosomal RNA
Rfam family: 5.8S ribosomal RNA (bases 1-120)
Source: RNAcentral
GAUGAAGAACGUAGCGAAAUGCGAUAAGUAAUGUGAAUUGCAGAAUUCAGUGAAUCAUCGAAUCUUUGAACGCACAUUGCACCCGUCAGUAUUCUGGCGGGCAUGCCUGUUCGAGCGUCAUUACGCCCCUCAAGUCCCCUGUGGACUUGGUGUUGGGGAUCGGCGAGGCUGGUUUUCCAGCACAGCCGUCCCUUAAAUUAAUUGGCGGUCUCGCCGUGGCCCUCCUCUGCGCAGUAUUAAAACACUCGCAACAGGAGCCCGGCGCGGUCCACUGCCGUAAAACCCCCCAACUUUUUAUAGUUGACCUCGAAUCAGGUAGGACUACCCGCUGAACUUAAGCAUAUCAAUAAGCGGAGGA